CCACGCAGCACGCAUUCACGCACGCCACGUAUGGGGGCGGGUCUCCGGUGCCAGGGCUUGGAGUCCCGCCCUGCUGCGGGGAAGGAACGAGCCUAUUGGCCAGGGCCCUUUGGGACGUGCCACCAGGUAGGAAAGCAUGAGUUGUGUGGCACUGUAGGUGAAAUUAGGCCGCAUCCCUAAGACAGUACACACCAAAUAGUUGUUAAAUGAAGUUUUUAAAUUGUCCGAGACCCUUGGGAUCAAGAUGCAACAGGAGCCGUGGACUGGAGUAUAUAUGGGUUUUAUGGUUGAAAAAAAACCAUAAAAGGUACCGUAGCAUACACCUGUAAUCCCAAUGAUUUGGGGGCUGAGGCCAGAGACUGCAAGCUAGAGGCCAGCAAUAGCAACUCAACAAGAUCCAGUCUCAAAAUUUUAAAAAGGGCUGGGAAUGUGGCUCCAUGACAACCUUGCCUGGUCUUAUGGGAAGAAGAGGAUACUUCAGUGGGAGAAGAAAUAAUGAUAAUGAUAAGGAUUGAAUAUCCUGCAAAUCCAAGAAAAUGUGAAUUCAGCACUGGAUAAACCUUGAUUUAAACGAAACAAAGAUGAUAUUUUUUUUUUUUUUGCUAUGUACAUUUUCUAUUACUGUUGUAACAAAUUACCACAGGUUUAGUGACUUAAAACAACACACAGUUUUAUAUGUCAGGAAUGUGAUAAUGGAUUGCACAGAACUGCAAUCUAGAUAUUAGACUGUAUUCCCUUGGAGACUCUAAGAAUCCAUUUCCUUUUUCAUUUAGGUUGUUGGCAAAAUUCAGUUCCUUGUUAUUUUCUUUCUGGCUUAUCACCUGAGGACUAUAUCCAGCUUCUAAAUGUCACCCAUGUUCUUUGUCUCAUUGUCCCCUUACUCCAUCUUAAAAGGCCAGCAAUGGUAGACUGAGUCCUCUCAUUUUUCAAAACUCUUCUGCUUCUUCCAAUACCUUUCUCUGACCAACCGUCUCUUUCUGUACCACUUCCAUUUGCACAUAGCUAAGACAGGAUAGUCAAAUCAGCAGCAGCUUUAUAUAUAUAUAAUGUUUUAUUUAUUUAUUUUUAUGUGGUGCUGAGGAUCGAACCCAGGGCCUUGCACAUCGAGGAGAGCUCUCUACCGCUGAGCCAUAACCCCAGCCCCAGCAGCAGCUUUAAUUCCCUUUUACUUUAUAAAGUAAUAUGUUCACCUGAGGUAAAAAUCAUGCCUCUGCCCACCAUAAAUUUGUUCAACUAAAUUUAUGAUGCAAAUUCAUACAAACUACAUAUGGAAAAUUGUAUACAGAAUAUCAAAUUUCUAUCAAGAUGCUGAGGUUGGGGUCUAUUUUCAUUUUUUUUCCCUUAUAUUCUACACAAUGAACAUGUAAGCAGUAUUUUUAGAAAAAUGUGGAAUAUUAGAUAUCAAAAUUAAUCAUCUACAGUGGGUAUGGUGGCAUGCCUGAAAUCCCAGCAACUUGGAAGGAUAAAGCAAAGGGAUUACAAGUUGGAGGCCAGCCUCAGCAAUUUAACAAAGCCUUAAGCAAUUUAGUGAGGCUAUGUAUCAAAACAAAAAGGGCAGAGAUGUGGCCCAGUGGUUAAGGGUCCCCUAGGUUCUGUCCCUGGUACCAUAAAUAAAUAAAUAAAUCCAAUUAUCUGACUAGUUCCAAGUAAUACAAGUAGAAACAGUUUCAUUAAUUCCAUUGUGUGGGAGGCCAACCUUCCGGGUGACUGAGUUACACUCCCCAGCUGGGUGCUGAGGCGCUCAGUCACAGAAAUGGGUGUGUCUUGCUACAGCCCCAUGGGUGAAACUAUGCUGACCUGUUCCUUUAUAAUAUAACCCCUUGCCUUGUUUAGGAUAGAAUCUUCCAUGGAAGUGCCUUGUGUGUGUCCCCUCCUCUUACUGUGCCCUUGGGUGUGGCCUACCCAGGUGUCAGUCAACCUGCUGACAGUGGACAUCAUGAAGAUACACUCAGCCCCCUGAAACCUGACUCCUUGCCUCAUUUGAAUAGCUUCUCAAUAAAAGGGGUCAGCGCA
Marmota monax (woodchuck) is the source of this 2013-nucleotide long non-coding RNA. RefSeq lists it as uncharacterized. The record is from RefSeq and is a predicted model, not a curated record. Lineage: Eukaryota; Metazoa; Chordata; Mammalia; Rodentia; Sciuridae. The transcript has 4 exons.